Molecule: ribosomal RNA, 512 nt
Filed under: uncultured bacterium
Lineage: Bacteria
Description: partial 16S ribosomal RNA
Rfam family: Bacterial small subunit ribosomal RNA
Source: RNAcentral
GAUGAACGCUGGCGGCAUGCCUAAUACAUGCAAGUCGAACGAGAGGAAGGAAAGCUUGCUUUUCUGAAUCUAGUGGCGAACGGGUGAGUAACACGUAGGUAACCUGCCCAUGUGCCCGGGAUAACUUCUGGAAACGGAUGCUAAAACCGGAUAGGUAGCAGACAAGCAUUUGACUGCUAUUAAAGUGGCUAAGGCCAUGAACAUGGAUGGACCUGCGGUGCAUAAGCUAGUUGGUGAGGUAACGGCCAACCAAGGCGACGAUGCAGAGCCGGCCUGAGAGGGCGGACGGCCACAUUGGGACUGAGACACGGCCCAAACUCCUACGGGAGGCAGCAGUAGGGAAUUUUCGUCAAUGGGGGGAACCCUGAACGAGCAAUGCCGCGUGAGUGAGGAAGGUCUUCGGAUCGUAAAGCUCUGUUGUAGGAGAAAAACGACAUUCAUAGGGAAUGAUGAGUGAGUGAUGGUAUCUUACCAGAAAGUCACGGCUAACUACGUGCCAGCCGCCGCGGUAA